Molecule: ribosomal RNA, 210 nt
Filed under: Triticum aestivum (bread wheat)
Lineage: Eukaryota; Viridiplantae; Streptophyta; Magnoliopsida; Poales; Poaceae
Description: partial small subunit ribosomal RNA
Source: RNAcentral
AUGGCCAGCUUCGCCGCCCAGCUCCUGGACGUGUUUUACGACCUCGUCGAGCGCGUCACCGGCUACAGCGCCCGCGCCCAAGACGACAAGGAUCUACAGAAGCAUAGCAAGUUGGCAACUACGGAGGCUUUCCGGACGGGGGAAGUUGUCGAGAUCAGGUCCAGGAAUCUCCCGGUUGUAUCAGGGGGGUCAGAGGGCCAGGUCAAUUAA